This 682-nucleotide ribosomal RNA is filed under the name Escherichia fergusonii. RNAcentral's name for it is "partial 16S ribosomal RNA". The stretch from base 1 to 333 matches the Rfam family "Bacterial small subunit ribosomal RNA", at positions 60 to 390 of the family's 1533-position model. Lineage: Bacteria; Pseudomonadati; Pseudomonadota; Gammaproteobacteria; Enterobacterales; Enterobacteriaceae. The record is from RNAcentral.
AGUCGAACGGUAACAGGAAGCAGCUUGCUGCUUUGCUGACGAGUGGCGGAGGGUGAGUAAUGUCUGGGAAACUGCCUGAUGGAGGGGGAUAACUACUGGAAACGGUAGCUAAUACCGCAUAAUGUCGCAAGACCAAAGAGGGGGACCUUCGGGCCUCUUGCCAUCGGAUGUGCCCAGAUGGGAUUAGCUUGUAGGUGGGGUAACGGCUCACCUAGGCGACGAUCCCUAGCUGGUCUGAGAGGAUGACCAGCCACACUGGAACUGAGACACGGUCCAGACUCCUACGGGAGGCAGCAGUGGGGAAUAUUGGAGGAUGUUGGGGCCACAGAUGUAUGAAGCAAAUAAAGGAGUAACGGUUUUAGGGCUUAAGCUUGGAGGAGGAAGGGGGGGAUAAGUUCUGCCUUUUAUUGUUCAAAAACAAAGGGAAUUUCUUUUUUUAAGGUUUUUUGAUUGAAGGGCCGGAGGUGGUUUUUUGAGCGCACAAAAAAAAAUAAGGCCCCGCGGUGUUAAGCCCCCUCAAAUUAAAUUUCGUUUUAAAACCCGGGGGCUCUCCCCCCCGGGGCGGUGCACUUUAAGGGGUGUAGGAUGCGGAGGUAAAAUCUAAGGGGGCCCAGAUUGAUAUUCCAAACUUCUUUUAACAGGUUUGCUCCCCCGGGAAUUUCUUCCCCCUUUUUCCCCCCCA